This 459-nucleotide ribosomal RNA is filed under the name uncultured bacterium. RNAcentral's name for it is "partial 16S ribosomal RNA". It matches the Rfam family "Bacterial small subunit ribosomal RNA", at positions 338 to 795 of the family's 1533-position model. The record is from RNAcentral.
CCUACGGGUGGCAGCAGUGAGGAAUAUUGGUCAAUGGCCGGAAGGCUGAACCAGCCAAGCCGCGUGAGGGACGAAGGUGCUAAGCAUUGUAAACUUCUUUUGUCAAGGGGCAAAAUCAGGCACGUGAGCCUGAUUGAGGGUACUCGAAGAAAAAGCAUCGGCUAACUCCGUGCCAGCAGCCGCGGUAAUACGGAGGAUGCGAGCGUUAUCCGGAUUUAUUGGGUUUAAAGGGUGCGUAGGCGGAGGUUCAAGUCAGCGGUAAAAGGGCGGGGCUCAACCCCGUAGAGCCGUUGAAACUGGCUGUCUUGAGAGCGCGAGAGGUAUGCGGAAUGCGUAGUGUAGCGGUGAAAUGCUUAGAUAUUGCGCAGAACUCCGAUUGCGAAGGCAGCAUACCGGCGCGGAUCUGACGCUCAUGCACGAAAGCGUGGGUAUCGAACAGGAUUAGAUACCCCUGUAGUC